Molecule: long non-coding RNA, 887 nt
Organism: Salvia miltiorrhiza (redroot sage)
Lineage: Eukaryota; Viridiplantae; Streptophyta; Magnoliopsida; Lamiales; Lamiaceae
Exons: 2
Source: RefSeq, a predicted model, not a curated record
GUUGUGGAACAUGGGGUUCGUGGCUGCCAAUCUAAUGAAGGAAAGCUCAUGAAAUUGGUGGAUCAUCGGCUAAUUUGCCUACUGUUGGAGUAGUUCAGAGCGAACUACCUGCUGGUGCUGGAUCCAUUGUCGACCUAAGGAAAGAGAAGGCGUAUGUUUUAGACAGUCGGAAUGAGACCCAAAUACAUUACCGAGAUGAAAAAUACUUGUCUACGGUCAACGAUGUGGUGAAAAUAAUUGCUUUUGUUUGUUUUGCGACUUUGUUUUCAAUGUGGUAUAUUGUUUAAUGUUUAUGUCCUUUUGUAAUGCUUAUUAAUUACACAUAAACAAAUGCUUGGAGACUACAUGGGACAUUUAGGUCAUGUGCACAAGAGCAACAUUGUGAAACGAGCAAAAAUGUUGAUACCACAUAUCAAAUGGGGGGGAUUCAAAGAACAUAAAUGACUCUGGCGUAUACAUGAUGCGACACAUGGAGGCUUUUAUGGGUGAGACUCCAUCUUUAUGGAGUUAUGGAUUAGCGCCGAAGCUAAAGAAGCAACUAAAUCUCUUACGUGCGAGGUACUGUGCAAUGCUUCUUGGGUGGGAGAAAAUUAUUGCCAGAGAUGCGGUUGCGGUCGGAGCUAAUGUGUACUAUGACGAGGUCUUCAACAACCCCACUGUAGACAUUGAUGCUACUUUUCUAGGAUGAUGAAUUCAACUAAUAUAUGGAUCUUGGAAUGAUGACGCAUAUCUACUUGCAGAGUUAGACUUUGUUUUUCUUUGUUGGUGAGUUGGUUCAUAUUUGGAUCAUUUUGUUAUUUUUGGUUUCUGGAUAUUUGUUGGAAGUUUUGUUAAUUAUGUUGCAUAACUGAUUUGGUUUCCUGCUGAAUAAGCGUGGUUUUGUUUAA